GCCUCCUUGGUUUAGUGGUAUAACGUCAGUCUUGUAAACUGAAGGUCGGCGGUUCGAUUCUGUCAGGGGGCU
Transfer RNA from Nematocida sp., 72 nucleotides. It matches the Rfam family "tRNA". Rfam says of the family: Transfer RNA (tRNA) molecules are approximately 80 nucleotides in length. Their secondary structure includes four short double-helical elements and three loops (D, anti-codon, and T loops). Further hydrogen bonds mediate the characteristic L-shaped molecular structure. tRNAs have two regions of fundamental functional importance: the anti-codon, which is responsible for specific mRNA codon recognition, and the 3' end, to which the tRNAs corresponding amino acid is attached (by aminoacyl-tRNA synthetases). tRNAs cope with the degeneracy of the genetic code in two manners: having more than one tRNA (with a specific anti-codon) for a particular amino acid; and 'wobble' base-pairing, i.e. permitting non-standard base-pairing at the 3rd anti-codon position. Lineage: Eukaryota; Fungi; Microsporidia. The record is from Rfam.